UUUCCGUAGGUGAACCUGCGGAAGGAACAUUCAUAAUAAAGUGUUUUAUGGCACUUUUUAAAAAUCCAUAUCCACCUUGUGUGCAAUGUUAGAUCUCGUCAAUCUUGGCGAGAUUUUUAUACAUCAACUCAUUCUUUAACUAAUUUGUCUGAAAAAUAUUAUGAAUACUAAUUCAAAAUACAACUUUCAACAACGGAUCUCUUGGCUCUC
RNAcentral lists this unclassified non-coding RNA (210 nucleotides) under plant metagenome. RNAcentral describes it as "partial contains small subunit ribosomal RNA, internal transcribed spacer 1, and 5.8S ribosomal RNA". The record is from RNAcentral.